GAGUAAAGAUUUCGGUCGCUUUGGGAGGAGCUCGCUUACUAUCAGCUUGUUGGUAGGGUAAUGGCCUACCAAGGCUAUGACGGUUAGGGGGUGUGAGAGCAUGACCCCCAGCAUUGGCACUGAAACACUGGCCAAACACCUACGGGUGGCUGCAGUCGAGAAUCUUCCACAAUGGGGGAAACCCUGAUGGAGCGAUGCUGCGUGCGGGAUGAAGGCCUUCGGGUUGUAAACCGCUUUUGUAGGGGACGAAAUUUUUGACGGUACCCUUUCGAAUAAGAGGUUGCUAACUCUGUGCCAGCAGCAGCGGUAAUACAGAGACCUCAAGCGUUAUCCGGAUUUACUGGGCGUAAAGCGUCUGUAGGGGGUUUAUUAAGUUCCAAGUAAAAUUUCAAGGCUCAACUUUGAAUUCGCUUGGAAAACUAAUAAACUGGAGUCUAGCAGAGGUGCAUGGAACUUGUGGUGUAGGAGUGAAAUCCGUUGAUAUCACAAGGAACACCAAAGGCGAAGGCAUUGCACUGGGCUAGCACUGACCCUGAGAGACGAAAGCGUGGGGAGCAAAACGGAUUAGAUACCCGUGUAGUCCACGCCCUAAACGAUGAAUGCUAAAUGUUCGGGGAUUCGACCCCCUGGGUGUUACAGCUAACGCGUUAAGCAUUCCGCCUGGGAAGUACGGCCGCAAGGCUAAAACUCAAAGGAAUAGACGGGGAUCCGCACAAGCGGUGGAGCGUCUGGUUUAAUUCGACAGUAAGCGUGGUACCUCACCAGGGUUUGACAUCCCUUGACAGCCUUGGAAACAAGGUUUCCUUCGGGCAAGGUGACAGGUGCUGCAUGGUCGUCGUCAGUUCGUGCCGUGAGGUGUUCCGUUAAGUCGGGAAACGAACGAAACCCCUAUUGCAUGUUACAAUUUCUCAUGCAAGACUGCCCGGAUAUACUGGGAGGAAGGUGGGGAUGACGUCAGAUCUGCAUGGUCCUUAUACCCUGGGCGACACAGGCGCUACAAUGGCAGAGACAAAGGGUUGCAAAACCGCAAGGUGAAGCUAAUCCCAAAAACUUUGUCUAAGUUCGGAUUGAAGGCUGCAAUUCGCCUUCAUGAAGCUGGAAUCGCUAGUAAUCGUGAAUCAGCCACGUCACGGUGAAUAUGUUCCCGGAUCUUGUACUCACCGCCCGUCACACCAAGAGAGUUGGUAGCUCCCGAAGCGUCCCGUUUUAGCGGGGCAUCACGGAGAGAUCAGCGAUAGGGGUGAAGU
Molecule: ribosomal RNA, 1247 nt
Filed under: uncultured organism
Description: bacterial SSU rRNA
Rfam family: Bacterial small subunit ribosomal RNA
Source: RNAcentral